RNAcentral lists this ribosomal RNA (254 nucleotides) under uncultured bacterium. RNAcentral describes it as "partial 16S ribosomal RNA". It matches the Rfam family "Bacterial small subunit ribosomal RNA", at positions 524 to 776 of the family's 1533-position model. The record is from RNAcentral.
UACGUAGGUGGCAAGCGUUGUCCGGAUUUACUGGGCGUAAAGAGCUCGUAGGCGGUUCGAUAAGUCAGGUGUAAAAACUCCAGGCUCAACUUGGAGAGGCCACCUGAUACUGUCGUGACUAGAGUCCGGUAGAGGAGCACGGAAUUCCUGGUGUAGCGGUGAAAUGCGCAGAUAUCAGGAGGAACACCAGCGGCGAAGGCGGUGCUCUGGGCCGGAACUGACGCUGAGGAGCGAAAGCGUGGGGAGCGAACAGG